UACGUAGGUGACAAGCGUUGUCCGGAUUUACUGGGCGUAAAGAGCGCGUAGGCGGCCAUUCAAGUCGGAGGUGAAAGCCCAGGGCUCAACCCUGGAAUUGCCUUCGAUACUGUUUGGCUAGAGACCGGAAGAGGUAAGUGGAACUGCGAGUGUAGAGGUGAAAUUCGUAGAUAUUCGCAAGAACACCAGUGGCGAAGGCGGCUUACUGGUCCGGUUCUGACGCUGAGGCGCGAAAGCGUGGGGAGCAAACAGG
Molecule: ribosomal RNA, 253 nt
Filed under: uncultured bacterium
Lineage: Bacteria
Description: partial 16S ribosomal RNA
Rfam family: Bacterial small subunit ribosomal RNA
Source: RNAcentral